CACUCCUGCGGGAGGCAGCAGUAGGGAAUCUUCCACAAUGGGUGCAAACCUGAUGGAGCAAUGCCGCGUGAGUGAAGAAGGUCUUCGGAUCGUAAAGCUCUGUUGUUAGAGAAGAACACGUGCUAGGUAACUACUAGCGCCUUGACGGUAUCUAACCAGAAAGUCACGGCUAACUACGUGCCAGCAGCCGCGGUAAUACGUAGGUGACAAGCGUUGUCCGGAUUUAUUGGGCGUAAAGGGAGCGCAGGCGGUCUGUUUAGUCUAAUGUGAAAGCCCACGGCUUAACCGUGGAACGGCAUUGGAAACUGACAGACUUGAAUGUAGAAGAGGAAAAUGGAAUUCCAAGUGUAGCGGUGGAAUGCGUAGAUAUUUGGAGGAACACCAGUGGCGAAGGCGAUUUUCUGGUCUAACAUUGACGCUGAGGCUCGAAAGCGUGGGGAGCGAACAGGAUUAGAUACCCUAGUAGUCCC
This 470-nucleotide ribosomal RNA is filed under the name uncultured organism. RNAcentral describes it as "partial 16S ribosomal RNA". It matches the Rfam family "Bacterial small subunit ribosomal RNA", at positions 334 to 797 of the family's 1533-position model. The record is from RNAcentral.